GGAAUGCGUAGAUAUAUGGAAGAACACCAGUGGCGAAGGCGGCUCUCUGGUCUGUAACUGACGCUGAGGCUCGAAAGCAUGGGUAGCGAACAGGAUUAGAUACCCUGGUAGUCCAUGCCGUAAACGAUGAGUGCUAAGUGUUGGGAGGUUUCCGCCUCUCAGUGCUGCAGCUAACGCAUUAAGCACUCCGCCUGGGGAGUACGACCGCAAGGUUGAAACUCAAAGGAAUUGACGGGGGCCCGCACAAGCGGUGGAGCAUGUGGUUUAAUUCGAAGCAACGCGAAGAACCUUACCAGGUCUUGACAUCCUUUGACCACCUAAGAGAUUAGGUUUUCCCUUCGGGGACAAAGAGACAGGUGGUGCAUGGCUGUCGUCAGCUCGUGUCGUGAGAUGUUGGGUUAAGUCCCGCAACGAGCGCAACCCUUGUUAAUAGUUGCCAGCAUUAAGUUGGGCACUCUAUUAAGACUGCCGGUGACAAACCGGAGGAAGGUGGGGAUGACGUCAAGUCAUCAUGCCCCUUAUGACCUGGGCUACACACGUGCUACAAUGGGCAGUACAACGAGAAGCGAACCUGUGAAGGCAAGCGGAUCUCUUAAAGCUGUUCUCAGUUCGGACUGUAGGCUGCAACUCGCCUACACGAAGCUGGAAUCGCUAGUAAUCGCGGAUCAGCACGCCGCGGUGAAUACGUUCCCGGGCCUUGUACACACCGCCCGUCACACCAUGAGAGUUUGUAACACCCAAAGUCGGUGAGGUAACCUUUGGAGCCAGCCGCCUAAGGUGGGACAGAUGAUUAGGGUGAAGUCGUAACAAGGUAGCCGUAGGAGAACCUGCGGCUG
This 836-nucleotide ribosomal RNA is filed under the name Lactobacillus psittaci. Its description in RNAcentral is "bacterial SSU rRNA". It matches the Rfam family "Bacterial small subunit ribosomal RNA", at positions 683 to 1520 of the family's 1533-position model. Lineage: Bacteria; Bacillati; Bacillota; Bacilli; Lactobacillales; Lactobacillaceae. The record is from RNAcentral. RNAcentral also lists the same sequence under 2 other names.